This 508-nucleotide ribosomal RNA is filed under the name uncultured bacterium. Its description in RNAcentral is "partial 16S ribosomal RNA". It matches the Rfam family "Bacterial small subunit ribosomal RNA", at positions 29 to 523 of the family's 1533-position model. The record is from RNAcentral.
AUUGAACGCUGGCGGCAGGCCUAACACAUGCAAGUCGAGCGGCAGCGGAAAAGUAGCUUGCUACUUUUGCCGGCGAGCGGCGGACGGGUGAGUAAUGCCUGGGGAUCUGCCCAGUCGAGGGGGAUAACUACUGGAAACGGUAGCUAAUACCGCAUACGCCCUACGGGGGAAAGCAGGGGACCUUCGGGCCUUGCGCGAUUGGAUGAACCCAGGUGGGAUUAGCUAGUUGGUGAGGUAAUGGCUCACCAAGGCGACGAUCCCUAGCUGGUCUGAGAGGAUGAUCAGCCACACUGGAACUGAGACACGGUCCAGACUCCUACGGGAGGCAGCAAUGGGGAAUAUUGCACAAUGGGGGAAACCCUGAUGCAGCCAUGCCGCGUGUGUGAAGAAGGCCUUCGGGUUGUAAAGCACCUUCGGCGAGGAGGAAAGGUUGGUAGCUAAUAACUGCCAGCUGUGACGUUACUCGCAGAAGAAGCACCGGCUAACUCCGUGCCAGCCGCCGCCGUAA